This 73-nucleotide transfer RNA is filed under the name Galeruca nigrolineata. Its description in RNAcentral is "tRNA-Ile". The record is from RNAcentral. Lineage: Eukaryota; Metazoa; Arthropoda; Insecta; Coleoptera; Chrysomelidae.
UAAUGAUGUGCCUGAAAAAAGGGUAAUUUUGAUAGAAUUAAUUAUGUGAAAUCCACCUUCAUUAGACCCCAAA